AUGGGCAUGAAGAAAUUUAUUAAGGACAGGGUACAGUCUUGUUUAGUUUGUCAGCAAGCUAAACCUGAACGAGUUAAGUAUCCAGGGCUGCUUUCUCCUUUACCAGUUCCAAGCAAGGCAUGGGAAACUGUGACCAUGGAUUUUAUUACUGGAUUACCUCCUUCCUAUCAGUUUGAUUGCAUAUUUGUGGUCAUUGACAAGUUUACAAAAUAUGGGCAUUUCAUGGCCCUCAAACAUCCCUUUUCUGCACAAAAGGUUGCUGAAGUGUUCUUGGACAAUAUAUACAAACUGCAUGGCAUGCCAGAGCACAUUGUAUCUGACAGAGAUCCGGUGUUCACAAGCAAAUUUUGGCAAACUCUUGUUCACAGGACUGGGACUCAGCUUAACAUGAGUACUACAUAUCACCCUGCUACUGAUGGUUAG
RNAcentral lists this ribosomal RNA (423 nucleotides) under Triticum aestivum (bread wheat). RNAcentral's name for it is "partial small subunit ribosomal RNA". Lineage: Eukaryota; Viridiplantae; Streptophyta; Magnoliopsida; Poales; Poaceae. The record is from RNAcentral.